UCAUUUAAUUUUUUUAUCUUAUUUUCCAAUAUAUGUAUUUCACUUUUAUUUUUAUUUGCAUUUCUUUUACAGUAUGCAACAGUAUGUUCUCGAACUUCAAUUUUGAACAGAUCCCAUUGAUGGCCUAUUUUAUCAGUAAGUUUUGUUUUAUUUUUAUAUUUCAUGAUAAGACCUUUUAUUAUAUUUUUAUACUCUGUAUUAUCUAAGAUACUGUUAUUAAUUUUAAAAUAACCUUUCCCUUUUGAUUGUGAUCUCCCUUUUACCUUUAAAGAUAUAGCUUGGUGAUCUGUAUGUGAAAUAAGUGCAGGUCUUAUAUCUGUUGAAUAAAUAUGUGACCUUAUUUCUGGACAAACAAGAAAGUAGUCUAUGCGUGAAGCUUCGUUUAUCUUAUUUUUCCGUCUCCAUGUAAAUUGUAUAUUAUUUCUAUGUAUGUCUCUCCAAAUAUCUAUCAGUUUGUGUGUUUUGAUUAACCCUUUAAACUGUUGACUGGUUUUUGUUUUCUUUUAUUAUUUCUGUUGUUUUUUUUUGUUGUCAAUAUUAGAUAAUGUAUCAUUCAUAUCUCCCCCUACUAUGACCAUACCUAAACUGUUUUUCUGUAUCAUGUCAUUUACUUUUUUGAAGAAAACAUUCCUAUUUUUAGGUAGAUUUGGUGCAUAAAUAUUAACUAGAGUAUAUAUACUUUCUGAAAUUUCUAUGUUAAUCAAAAUUAUGCGCCCCUCCUCAUCUUGAAAUUUAUCAAUUAAUUGAUAAUCAGUGUGAUCACUUAUAAAAAUAGAUACCCCUCUUGAUUGAGAAUUUCCAUAACUGUGGUAUGUAUCACCUUUGAAUUCAUUUUUAAAUUUUUUCCUCUAAAGUAGAAGUAAAAUGACUCUCUUGUACAAAUAAAAUAUUACAAUUCUGAUACUUCAUCCACAUAUGAAGCCUUUGUCUUUUAUCUUUUGAACCAAGACCUUGGCAGUUUAAUGAACAUAUAUGUAUUGUUUCACUCAUUGUUUACCAUAGAUUUCUAGUUAAAAAAAGUAAAGUUUCUUAUAUAUAAUAUAACCAUAAUUUGUUUACAACAUGGUAUAUACAGCUAGUAUUAAUAUUAAUAUACACAUUGUACAUAACAUUGCCAAUAGUGCUUACAAUAAUAUUGCAAAUAAUCAUUUUAACAUUUAUAGUAUGAUAACUACAUUGUUUACUUUUUAUUUCAUUGUCUAUUUUCAGACCGCAUAUGGCCUUGACAUUACUCAGACACUGACCCAGAUUCUGAUUAGCAAAUUGAAGUGGUAUGUCUGAACACCAGAUGUUAUUAAAAGAAAAGUUAAACAAUUUCAGUGAUGGUUUUGUGAUAUACCAUAUUCCAAAUAUUAGCCAGAAUAGAAAUAUAUAUCAUUAUUGGAUUUACCUGUGAAUGUUAAAAAAACGUGGAUGGCUAUACAUUUAGUGACAUGUUCUAAAAAUAGAUUUGGAUUUUCCUUUUCUAUACAUUGAAAACAAGUGUGAAGAAUAUUACCACUCUGGAUUAUAAACGUGGCAUAAAUGACUGAUGGAUUUUUUUUCACAUGGAGAAAAAAUGUUGGAUAUAGAUAUGUGUAUUUCUUGCAAUUUCAAUAUCAAUGAUGUGGUUUUUA
Molecule: long non-coding RNA, 1616 nt
Filed under: Mytilus galloprovincialis (Mediterranean mussel)
Lineage: Eukaryota; Metazoa; Mollusca; Bivalvia; Mytilida; Mytilidae
Source: RNAcentral